Podarcis lilfordi (Lilford's wall lizard) is the source of this 78-nucleotide non-coding RNA. The record is from the annotation of a GenBank genome assembly. NCBI's taxonomy places the organism in Eukaryota, Metazoa, Chordata, Lepidosauria, Squamata, Lacertidae.
GCCCCAUCUCUGUAGCUCAGUCAGUAGAGCAUGAGACUUUUAAUCUGAGGUUUGUGGGUUUGAGCCCCACAUUGGGCA